UACGGAGGGUGCGAGCGUUAAUCGGAAUUACUGGGCGUAAAGCGCACGCAGGCGGUUUGUUAAGCUAGAUGUGAAAGCCCCGGGCUCAACCUGGGAUGGUCAUUUAGAACUAGCAGACUAGAGUCUUGGAGAGGGGAGUGGAAUUCCAGGUGUAGCGGUGAAAUGCGUAGAUAUCUGGAGGAACAUCAGUGGCGAAGGCGACUCCCUGGCCAAAGACUGACGCUCAUGUGCGAAAGUGUGGGUAGCAAACAGC
RNAcentral lists this ribosomal RNA (253 nucleotides) under uncultured bacterium. RNAcentral's name for it is "partial 16S ribosomal RNA". It matches the Rfam family "Bacterial small subunit ribosomal RNA", at positions 524 to 776 of the family's 1533-position model. The record is from RNAcentral.